AAGAUUUUUUUUCCUUUUUUUCCGGAAAGAGAAAUAGCAAUAAUACUGCGGCCUCUGUAUCUCGAUUAACUAUUGCAUAGUUACAAGAUCCAUGCUAGGCAUCUAGUCUAGCCUUAUCAAGCUCGCUCGGCUAAUUUAUUGGGAUAUCAAACCACCCCGCAAAUAACCUAAGUUCUUUGUAGGUUAUUUGUCAGUCGUCUGAGAAGUAACGACGCCAUAUAUCUGUAGAGCACACUAGUCACAAUAUCCCAGAUACAUACUGAAACGUAACACAAAAAGGGAAACCAAGCCAUGUACUCCCUCCGUUGCAUAAUUAUUGUCGUGGUUUUAGUUCAAAUUUGAAUUAAAACCACGACAAUAAUUCAAAUUUGAACUAAAACCACGACAAUAAUUAUGCAACGGAGGGAGUAAUCAAUUUACGCAGCUCGGUUAAUUCCAGAAGAAACUG
Molecule: long non-coding RNA, 448 nt
Filed under: Triticum aestivum (bread wheat)
Lineage: Eukaryota; Viridiplantae; Streptophyta; Magnoliopsida; Poales; Poaceae
Description: long non-coding RNA (TAES_LNC021753)
Source: RNAcentral